GUUUAUUCCUUUUCUCUCUUAAUUUUGUGGUCAAAACAUUAUUUUUUCCCUUCCCUAUUGGAUAUUAAUAUACCAGUUCCUUUUAUUUCUUCUAUUACAUUUUUUAAAACUUUGGCUAAAAAAAAAAAUCCAGAUUAAAAUUAUCAUUUGGAGGGGGAGUGCUAGAACACUUGUUUAAGCAUGCACAGCCCCUGGAUUCAAAUCCCAGCACAGGGUGGACACACACAUACACACAUCUUUUUCCCUUUCUCCUCUUCUCCCCUCCCCCACUCCCUCGUUUUUUUUCAUGAAACCUAACCUGACUAACCUAUUUUGGUGAUAUUUUAGUUAGUAUUGUCUGCAGUGGCAAGAGAGAGCUUUUUUUUAAGAACUUGAGGGUAUGGGCUGGGAUUGUGGCUCAGUGGUAGAGGAGUUGCCUAGCACAUGUGAGGCACUGGAUUUGGUCCUCAGCACCACAUAAAAAUAAAUAAAUGAAAUAAAGGUAUUGUGUUCAUCUACAACCAAAUAAAUAAAUAAAUAAAAAUUUGAAGAUAGGGGUUAUAGGAGGAGGAGGAGGUAAAGCAUUUCAUUGGUGUAAAGCAUUUGGCCUAACAAGCACAAGGCCCUAGGUUUGAUUCCCAGCAUUCCAAGACAAAAAUCAAAACAACCCCCCACACACACACAAAAAAAAAAAAAUAAGGAAGAGUUGGUUCCAAUCCAUACUCCCAGACACUGAUUUAAUUGGUCUGUAUUUAAAUCUUUAAAAGUUUCUGAAAUUAAUCCUGGUUAAAUGCAGGCCAAGAAACUCUGAAGUUUUAAGUUCUCUUAGACUUUUGCUUAUAGUUUGUUUCUAGUUGUUAGGGGUGUAUAGUCUCAAGGUCUAGAAGCAUUUUCUGUUUUUAAAUUGUUAAAAUAACUAAAUGGCUCCAGUACCCUGGGUUCCCACAUAAACAAACUGAAAUCUAACUGUAGUCUUAACCAGACAGAAACCGUUUACUAACCUCUAACUAGGGACUUUCCACUGGCACAAGCCAAAUAAAGCUUCUGCUCCAUCUUAGCCAAUCAUAUAUUUUCUUUGCCUUGUAUCUGCUUAUCUUAGAAAAGCCAUUCCCUGUGGCCUUCAUUUUGAAGCUGCCUGCUUUUUUAGAUGAUUCUUAAAAAUUUUAAGGG
Molecule: long non-coding RNA, 1149 nt
Filed under: Marmota monax (woodchuck)
Lineage: Eukaryota; Metazoa; Chordata; Mammalia; Rodentia; Sciuridae
Source: RNAcentral